RNAcentral lists this ribosomal RNA (464 nucleotides) under uncultured Klebsiella sp. RNAcentral's name for it is "bacterial SSU rRNA". It matches the Rfam family "Bacterial small subunit ribosomal RNA", at positions 338 to 795 of the family's 1533-position model. The record is from RNAcentral. Lineage: Bacteria; Pseudomonadati; Pseudomonadota; Gammaproteobacteria; Enterobacterales; Enterobacteriaceae.
CCUACGGGGGGCUGCAGUGGGGAAUAUUGCACAAUGGGCGCAAGCCUGAUGCAGCCAUGCCGCGUGUGUGAAGAAGGCCUUCGGGUUGUAAAGCACUUUCAGCGGGGAGGAAGGCGGUGAGGUUAAUAACCUCAUCGAUUGACGUUACCCGCAGAAGAAGCACCGGCUAACUCCGUGCCAGCAGCCGCGGUAAUACGGAGGGUGCAAGCGUUAAUCGGAAUUACUGGGCGUAAAGCGCACGCAGGCGGUCUGUCAAGUCGGAUGUGAAAUCCCGGGCUCAACCUGGGAACUGCAUUCGAAACUGGCAGGCUAGAGUCUUGUAGAGGGGGGUAGAAUUCCAGGUGUAGCGGUGAAAUGCGUAGAGAUCUGGAGGAAUACCGGUGGCGAAGGCGGCCCCCUGGACAAAGACUGACGCUCAGGUGCGAAAGCGUGGGGAGCAAACAGGAUUAGAUACCCGGGUAGUC